RNAcentral lists this unclassified non-coding RNA (161 nucleotides) under Carex capitata. Its description in RNAcentral is "partial internal transcriber spacer 1". Lineage: Eukaryota; Viridiplantae; Streptophyta; Magnoliopsida; Poales; Cyperaceae. The record is from RNAcentral.
CCUCCCCGGCCCCVCCGGCCUCUUCCCCCUCGCCCUGCGGGCGCGUCGGUCGCUGGCCGGAAUACGGCGCGGGUUGACGCCAAGGAACACGAGAAAGCCGACGCACCGGCGAGCCGCUCAGCGGCCGUGCCGGGUGCCGAGGCCAACGGAAAAAAAAAUAU